Long non-coding RNA from Lagopus leucura (white-tailed ptarmigan), 578 nucleotides. RefSeq lists it as uncharacterized. The record is from RefSeq and is a predicted model, not a curated record. NCBI's taxonomy places the organism in Eukaryota, Metazoa, Chordata, Aves, Galliformes, Phasianidae. The transcript is spliced from 4 exons.
GUUUUUUUCUGGGGGGUUCUGCCUGUGGGGUUUUGUAGUGAGCUGUGGAUGUUGCAUCAUUUUGACUGCAUCUAACCUAUGUUGCAUGGUGGAGAUAACCAGCUUAGUUCCAGCCUCAGCAGACAAUGAGAGUACCACUGGCAGGAGCUUUCAGCUAACAGAAUUGGAUCCUGGUCUGAGCUGAUUGAGUGAGACGCAAGUCUAUAACUGCCUGUUACAGCCUGCCUUCUUCUCUUGAGUGGCUGCUGUGCCUUUCCCUUCACUCAGCUUACCUCACGCUGCUUCUCAUUCUCCUGUUGCUGGUUGAGAUCCAGGUACUGAGUUGUGAUACUCUUCAUUACUUGCUGGAAGCUGGAUCACCUCUGCACUAUAGAAAGAAAUUAAAUUCCUUUUCUUUUAAUUAUACUGUUAUAACCCCCUUACUCCAGUGUUCGUAUAGGAAUAUAUUAGUAAUGGAAAAUACAAUUAUAAAAUCUCUUGAGUUCAUGCACAAAUAAAACCGUCAAGUAAGACAAAGUGUUAAUAAAAUCUUAUAUAACUUAGGGAAUACUACUGUAAUAACACUGAAUGAAGAAAAA